This 460-nucleotide ribosomal RNA is filed under the name uncultured bacterium. RNAcentral describes it as "partial 16S ribosomal RNA". It matches the Rfam family "Bacterial small subunit ribosomal RNA", at positions 338 to 795 of the family's 1533-position model. The record is from RNAcentral.
CCUACGGGAGGCAGCAGUGAGGAAUAUUGGUCAAUGGACGAGAGUCUGAACCAGCCAAGUAGCGUGAAGGAUGACUGCCCUAUGGGUUGUAAACUUCUUUUAUAUGGGAAUAAAAUGUUCCACGUGUGGGAUUUUGUAUGUACCAUAUGAAUAAGGAUCGGCUAACUCCGUGCCAGCAGCCGCGGUAAUACGGAGGAUCCGAGCGUUAGCCGGAUUUAUUGGGUUUAAGGGGAGCGUAGGUGGAUUGUUAAGUCAGUUGUGAAAGUUUGCGGCUCAACCGUAAAAUUGCAGUUGAAACUGGCAGUCUUGAGUACAGUAGAGGUGGGCGGAAUUCGUGGUGUAGCGGUGAAAUGCUUAGAUAUCACGAAGAACUCCGAUUGCGAAGGCAGUUCACUGGACUGCAACUGACACUGAGGCUCGAAAGUGUGGGUAUCAAACAGGAUUAGAUACCCCAGUAGUC